This 273-nucleotide ribosomal RNA is filed under the name uncultured bacterium. RNAcentral describes it as "partial 16S ribosomal RNA". It matches the Rfam family "Bacterial small subunit ribosomal RNA", at positions 524 to 796 of the family's 1533-position model. The record is from RNAcentral.
UACGUAGGGGGCAAGCGUUGUCCGGAAUCAUUGGGCGUAAAGCGCGUGUAGGCGGUUCGAUCAGUCUGCUGUGAAAGCCCAGGGCUCAACCCUGGGAUGCCGGUGGAUACUGUCGGGCUAGAGUCCGGAAGAGGCGAGUGGAAUUCCUGGUGUAGCGGUGAAAUGCGCAGAUAUCAGGAGGAACACCAAUUGCGAAGGCAGCUCGCUGGGACGGUACUGACGCUGAGACGCGAAAGCGUGGGGAGCGAACAGGAUUAGAUACCCCCGUAGUCC